Molecule: ribosomal RNA, 469 nt
Filed under: Specklinia montezumae
Lineage: Eukaryota; Viridiplantae; Streptophyta; Magnoliopsida; Asparagales; Orchidaceae
Description: eukaryotic LSU rRNA
Rfam family: 5.8S ribosomal RNA (bases 1-133)
Source: RNAcentral
GCUCUCGCAUCGAUGAAGAGCGCAGCGAAAUGCGAUACGUGGUGCGAAUUGCAGAAUCCCGCGAACCAUCGAGAAUUUGAACGCAAGUUGCGCCCGAGGCCAGCCGGCCAAGGGCACGUCCGCCUGGGCGUCAAGCGUUACGUCGCUCCGUGCCAGAUCCCUCCCACCCGAUAGGUGUGUACGGAGGAGGGUCGGAUGUGCAGAGUGGCUCGUCGUGCCCGCGUGCGCGGCGGGCUGAAGAGCGGGUGAUCGUCUCGUUGGCCACGAACAACAAGGGGUGGAUGAAAAUUGUGCCUGUGUUGUAUCGUGUUGGCGUGAGAAGAGAUUUAUACCCAGCGGAUGAUCCCAGUCUAAGCGUCGGUCCACGGACGUCGGCUUGGAAUGCGACCCCAGGAUGGGCGAGGCCACCCGCUGAGUUUAAGCAUAUCAAUAAGCGGAGGAGAAGAAACUUACGAGGAUUCCCCUAGUA